Molecule: ribosomal RNA, 192 nt
Filed under: uncultured prokaryote
Description: partial 16S ribosomal RNA
Source: RNAcentral
UUACCUUUAGACAUUACAUCACUCCUUCUGCACGUAAUUUUUGACGCACGUUUUCUUCUGCGUCAGUAAGAACGUCAGUGUUUCCUGCGCGUACACGCAAGGUAAACGCGAACAAUUCAGCGGCUUUAACCGGACGCUCGACGCCAUUAAUAAUGUUUUCCGUAAAUUCAGCGCCUUCCAUGAUGAGACAGG